AGUGAACGCUGGCGGUAGGCCUAACACAUGCAAGUCGAACGGCAGCACAGUAAGAGCUUGCUCUUACGGGUGGCGAGUGGCGGACGGGUGAGGAAUACAUCGGAAUCUACUUUUUCGUGGGGGAUAACGUAGGGAAACUUACGCUAAUACCGCAUACGACCUACGGGUGAAAGCAUGGGAUCUUCGGACCUUGCGCGAUUGAAUGAGCCGAUGUCGGAUUAGCUAGUUGGCGGGGUAAAGGCCCACCAAGGCGACGAUCCGUAGCUGGUCUGAGAGGAUGAUAAGCCACACUGGAACUGAGACACGGUCCAGAGUCCUACGGGAGGCAGCAGUGGGGAAUAUUGGACAAUGGGCGCAAGCCUGAUCCAGCCAUACCGCGUGUGUGAAGAAGGCCUUCGGGUUGUAAAGACCUUUUGUUGGGAAAGAAAAGCAGCAGGUUAAUACCCCGCUGUUCUGACGGUACCCAAAGAAUAAGCACCGGCUAACUUCGUG
This 492-nucleotide ribosomal RNA is filed under the name uncultured bacterium. Its description in RNAcentral is "partial 16S ribosomal RNA". It matches the Rfam family "Bacterial small subunit ribosomal RNA", at positions 29 to 507 of the family's 1533-position model. The record is from RNAcentral.